This 71-nucleotide transfer RNA is filed under the name candidate division MSBL1 archaeon SCGC-AAA259O05. Its description in RNAcentral is "candidate divison MSBL1 archaeon SCGC-AAA259O05 tRNA". It matches the Rfam family "tRNA". Rfam says of the family: Transfer RNA (tRNA) molecules are approximately 80 nucleotides in length. Their secondary structure includes four short double-helical elements and three loops (D, anti-codon, and T loops). Further hydrogen bonds mediate the characteristic L-shaped molecular structure. tRNAs have two regions of fundamental functional importance: the anti-codon, which is responsible for specific mRNA codon recognition, and the 3' end, to which the tRNAs corresponding amino acid is attached (by aminoacyl-tRNA synthetases). tRNAs cope with the degeneracy of the genetic code in two manners: having more than one tRNA (with a specific anti-codon) for a particular amino acid; and 'wobble' base-pairing, i.e. permitting non-standard base-pairing at the 3rd anti-codon position. The record is from Rfam by way of RNAcentral. Lineage: Archaea; Methanobacteriati; Methanobacteriota.
GGGUCCAAAGUCCACUGGUAAGACGUUACCUUGACACGGUAGAAAAGGAGGUUCAAUUCCUUCUGGACCCA